UACAGAGGGUGCAAGCGUUGUUCGGAAUUACUGGGCGUAAAGCGCACGUAGGCGGAUUGUUAAGUCAGGGGUGAAAUCCCGGGGCUCAACCCCGGAACUGCCUUUGAUACUGGCAUUCUCGAGUCCGGAAGAGGUGAGUGGAAUUCCGAGUGUAGAGGUGAAAUUCGUAGAUAUUCGGAGGAACACCAGUGGCGAAGGCGGCUCACUGGUCCGGAACUGACGCUGAGGUGCGAAAGCGUGGGGAGCAAACAGG
Molecule: ribosomal RNA, 253 nt
Filed under: uncultured bacterium
Lineage: Bacteria
Description: partial 16S ribosomal RNA
Rfam family: Bacterial small subunit ribosomal RNA
Source: RNAcentral